CCGGCGACCGGCGCACGGGUGAGUAACACGUAUGCAACCUGGCCGUCACAGGUGGAUAACCGGAAGAAAUUCCGACUAAUACAGCCUAACACUCCUGAGGGACAUCCUUCGGGAGUCAAAGGAGGCAACUCCGGUGACGGAUGGGCAUGCGGCGCAUUAGGUAGUUGGUAGGGUAACGGCCUACCAAGCCGACGAUGCGUAGGGGUUCUGAGAGGAAGGUCCCCCACAUUGGAACUGAGACACGGUCCAAACUCCUACGGGAGGCAGCAG
Molecule: ribosomal RNA, 270 nt
Filed under: uncultured bacterium
Lineage: Bacteria
Description: partial 16S ribosomal RNA
Rfam family: Bacterial small subunit ribosomal RNA
Source: RNAcentral